RNAcentral lists this ribosomal RNA (490 nucleotides) under Coniochaeta sp. 2 CJL-2014. RNAcentral describes it as "eukaryotic LSU rRNA". The stretch from base 129 to 282 matches the Rfam family "5.8S ribosomal RNA". Lineage: Eukaryota; Fungi; Ascomycota; Sordariomycetes; Coniochaetales; Coniochaetaceae. The record is from RNAcentral.
GUUGCUUCGGCGGCGCGGCCCCCCUCACGGGGUGCCGCAGCCCCGCCUCUCAGGAGGUACGGGGCGCCCGCCGGAGGUACGAAACUCUGUAUUAUAGUGGCAUCUCUGAGUAAAAACAAAUAAGUUAAAACUUUCAACAACGGAUCUCUUGGUUCUGGCAUCGAUGAAGAACGCAGCGAAAUGCGAUAAGUAAUGUGAAUUGCAGAAUUCAGUGAAUCAUCGAAUCUUUGAACGCACAUUGCGCCCGCUAGUACUCUAGCGGGCAUGCCUGUUCGAGCGUCAUUUCAACCCUCAAGCUCUGCUUGGUGUUGGGGCCCUACGUCUGACGUAGGCCCUGAAAAGAAGUGGCGGGCUCGCUACAACUCCGAGCGUAGUAAUUCAUUAUCUCGCUAGGGAAGUGUGGCCUGCUCCUGCCGUUAAAGACCCCAUCUUUAACCAAGGUUGACCUCGGAUCAGGUAGGAAUACCCGCUGAACUUAAGCAUAUCAAUA